AAUUUGGAGGAAAGGUGGGCCAUGGGCCAAGGAACCAUUGAUUAGACUUUGAUGCAAAUCUGAAUAUGUGGCUUGGCAGAGUUUACAGUACAGGAGCAGUCUCUUGGACUGAGUUCAUUUACAGAGAUGCUUCAUUGGGAUAAACCCAGACAGGGGUUCAAAGAUGACAUCAAAGAAGAUGGGUAAAAUCAUCAACUAGAAAUCUCUCACAGUCAACCCUCAUUGUCUCGACUCUCCUGAAGAAUGUCAUGGACUUUCAAUGGGACUUGAAGUUUUUACAGACUCACACUAAUGCAGACACAAACUUAUAAAGAGUUCUGGGUUUUGCAUAUAUGCGAAUUUGGAUUUUUGUUUUUUAUUUUUUAAACAGUUAUCAUUUAUCAAUGAGCGGUAGUUAGCCAGCUAGGUGAUGGGGCAUAAAGUGA
Long non-coding RNA from Neoarius graeffei (lesser salmon catfish), 425 nucleotides. RefSeq lists it as uncharacterized. The record is from RefSeq and is a predicted model, not a curated record. NCBI's taxonomy places the organism in Eukaryota, Metazoa, Chordata, Actinopteri, Siluriformes, Ariidae. The transcript has 3 exons.